UACGGAGGGGGCGAGCGUUAUUCGGAAUUAUUGGGCGUAAAGGGCGCGUAGGCGGCUUGAUGUGUCAAAGGUGAAAUCCCUCGGCUCAACUGAGGAACUGCCUUUGAAACUGUCUGGCUUGAGGCCGGGAGAGGGUAGCGGAAUUCCCAGUGUAGCGGUGAAAUGCGUAGAUACUGGGAGGAACACCGGUGGCGAAGGCGGCUACCUGGACCGGUAUUGACGCUGAUGCGCGAAAGCCAGGGGAGCAAACGGG
Molecule: ribosomal RNA, 253 nt
Filed under: uncultured bacterium
Lineage: Bacteria
Description: partial 16S ribosomal RNA
Rfam family: Bacterial small subunit ribosomal RNA
Source: RNAcentral